AUGGGAGAGAGACAGAGGGGAGAGGGAGAGAGACAGAGGGAAGAGGGAGAGAGAGAUUGGAAGAGGGAGAGAGACAGAGGAAGAGGGAGAGAGACAGAGGGGAGAGAGAGAGAGGCAGGGGAGAGAGAGAGAGACAGAGGAAGAGGGAGAGAGACAGAGGGGAGAGAGACAGAGGGGAGAGAGAGAGAGACAGAGGAAGAGGGAGAGAGACAGAGGGAAGAGGGAGAGAGAGAGAGGAAGAGGGAGAGAGACAGAGGAAGAGGGAGAGAGAGGGAAGAGAGAGAGAGGGGAGAGGGAGAGAGACAGAGGGAAGAGGGAGAGAGACAGAGGGAAGAGGGAGAGAGACAGAGGAAGAGGGAGAGAGAGAGAGGAAGAGGGAGAGAGACAGAGGAAGAGGGAGAGAGACAGAGGAAGAGGGAGAGAGACAGAGGGGAGAGGGAGAGAGACAGAGGAAGAGGGAGAGAGACAGAGGGGAGAGAGAGAGAGACAGAGGGGAGAGGGAGAGAGAGAGAGGGGAGAGGGAGAGAGACAGAGGGAAGAGAGAGAGAGACAGAGGAAGAGGGAGAGAGAGAGAGGGAAGAGGGAGAGAGACAGAGGGAGAGAGAGAGAGAGGGGAGAGGGAGAGAGACAGAGGGAAGAGGGAGAGAGACAGAGGGAGAGAGAGACAGAGGGAAGAGGGAGAGAGACAGAGGGAAGAGGGAGAGAGACAGAAGGAGAGAGAGACAGAGGGAAGAGGGAGAGAGACAGAGGGAAGAGGGAGAGAGACAGAGGGAAGAGGGAGAGAGAGAGGGAAGAGGGAGAGAGAGAGAGAGAGAGAGAGAGAGAGAGAGAGAGAGAGAGAGAGAGAGAGAGAGAGAGAGAGAGAGAGAGAGAGAGAGAGAGAGAGACAGAGGAAGAGGGAGAGAGACAGAGGGAAGAGGGAGAGAGAGAGAGAGAGAGAGAGAGAGAGAGAGAGAGAGAGAGAGAGAGAGAGAGAGAGAGAGAGAGAGAGAGAGAGAGAGAGAGAGAGAGAGACAGAGAGAGAGAGAGAGAGAGAGAGAGAGAAAGAGAGGGAGAGAGAGAGGGAAGAGGGAGAGAGAGAGAGAGAGAGAGAGAGAGAGAGAGAGAGAGAGAGAGAGAGAGAGAGAGAGAGAGAGAGAGAGAGAGAGGAAGAGGGAGCGAGACAGAAUAGAGAGGAAAAAAUAUAAAGAGAAUCAAAUCAUACACAAACAUGAACAGCGUGCCCAGGCCCUUUGCCUUCUACUGUCUGGCUCUUUCUCCCAGAUCCUCUCCACCAUAAGCAGAGAAGAAAGGCUGAACUGA
Molecule: long non-coding RNA, 1302 nt
Filed under: Gadus morhua (Atlantic cod)
Lineage: Eukaryota; Metazoa; Chordata; Actinopteri; Gadiformes; Gadidae
Description: lncRNA (ENSGMOG00000027779.1)
Source: RNAcentral